RNAcentral lists this ribosomal RNA (399 nucleotides) under Escherichia coli. RNAcentral describes it as "partial 23S ribosomal RNA". It matches the Rfam family "Bacterial large subunit ribosomal RNA", at positions 2532 to 2925 of the family's 2925-position model. Lineage: Bacteria; Pseudomonadati; Pseudomonadota; Gammaproteobacteria; Enterobacterales; Enterobacteriaceae. The record is from RNAcentral.
UCGGCUCAUCACAUCCUGGGGCUGAAGUAGGUCCCAAGGGUAUGGCUGUUCGCCAUUUAAAGUGGUACGCGAGCUGGGUUUAGAACGUCGUGAGACAGUUCGGUCCCUAUCUGCCGUGGGCGCUGGAGAACUGAGGGGGGCUGCUCCUAGUACGAGAGGACCGGAGUGGACGCAUCACUGGUGUUCGGGUUGUCAUGCCAAUGGCACUGCCCGGUAGCUAAAUGCGGAAGAGAUAAGUGCUGAAAGCAUCUAAGCACGAAACUUGCCCCGAGAUGAGUUCUCCCUGACUCCUUGAGAGUCCUGAAGGAACGUUGAAGACGACGACGUUGAUAGGCCGGGUGUGUAAGCGCAGCGAUGCGUUGAGCUAACCGGUACUAAUGAACCGUGAGGCUUAACCUU